This 159-nucleotide ribosomal RNA is filed under the name Cydonia oblonga (quince). RNAcentral's name for it is "5.8S ribosomal RNA". It matches the Rfam family "5.8S ribosomal RNA". From Rfam's summary of the family: 5.8S ribosomal RNA (5.8S rRNA) is a component of the large subunit of the eukaryotic ribosome. The record is from RNAcentral. RNAcentral also lists the same sequence under 5 other names. Lineage: Eukaryota; Viridiplantae; Streptophyta; Magnoliopsida; Rosales; Rosaceae.
GACUCUCGGCAACGGAUAUCUCGGCUCUCGCAUCGAUGAAGAACGUAGCGAAAUGCGAUACUUGGUGUGAAUUGCAGAAUCCCGUGAACCAUCGAGUCUUUGAACGCAAGUUGCGCCCGAAGCCGUCAGGCCGAGGGCACGCCUGCCUGGGCGUCGCAC